GUCUCUGGGCUAUCAUCUGUGUU
This 23-nucleotide unclassified non-coding RNA is filed under the name Mus musculus (house mouse). RNAcentral describes it as "oocyte_clustered_small_RNA7298". Lineage: Eukaryota; Metazoa; Chordata; Mammalia; Rodentia; Muridae. The record is from RNAcentral.